AUGAGAACUUGUUCUCAACUGGCUUACCUGGUUAAAUAAAGAUGGUGAGGCUGCUUCUCUCCAGAGGAGCCAACAUUAAUGCCUUUGACAAGAAGGAUCGCCGAGCAAUCCACUGGGCUGCUUACAUGGGGCACAUUGAGGUGGUGAAACUGCUGGCCUCUCAUGGAUCAGAGGUGUCCUGUAAA
This is a long non-coding RNA of Coregonus clupeaformis (lake whitefish), 185 nucleotides long. RefSeq lists it as uncharacterized. Lineage: Eukaryota; Metazoa; Chordata; Actinopteri; Salmoniformes; Salmonidae. The record is from RefSeq and is a predicted model, not a curated record. The transcript has 3 exons.